UUUACAAUGGAGAGUUUGAUCCUGGCUCAGGAUGAACGCUAGCGGCAGGCCUAAUACCUGCAAGUCGAACGGUAGAGAAGCUUUCGGGUUUCUUGAGAGUGGCGCACGGGUGCGUAACACGUAUGC
Molecule: ribosomal RNA, 126 nt
Filed under: Algoriphagus sp.
Lineage: Bacteria; Pseudomonadati; Bacteroidota; Cytophagia; Cytophagales; Cyclobacteriaceae
Description: partial 16S ribosomal RNA
Rfam family: Bacterial small subunit ribosomal RNA
Source: RNAcentral